AGUGAUGUGAUUCUUUAGUUAGUAGAUUAGAAUGAGGUUCGAUUUACGAUUUGUUGGGUUGUGAUAAAUGGAUAAUAUUCAGAUAAGCGUUCUCUAAUGAAUUUCAUUGGAAUCGCAAUCAUCUACAGUGGUUAAUAGAUAGAUAAUGUAUUGAUGAUUCCAAUUUGUCUGCGAUCACUUCCUCAUUCAACUUACAAUUAAUACUUACCUAUGUUCGCUUCGCAGUUUAGUUAUACUUGAGCAAACGUCACAACAUUUGUUUUCGCGAAAAAAUGGUGUUGUAAGUAUCUAAUAUUUGGGUUGAAUUAUCCCUUUAUAAUUAUGCAAUCGUAAAUAAUCAAAUUUGUUUGAAAAAAUUCUAAAUGCUUUGUUUGAGGAACGCGAUUGUUGUAUUCGUUCUGAUUUGUUCUGUUGUGUUGCUAGUUGGACAUUGUGAAGAGCUGUCGGAAGGAUUGAUUUCCGAUGAAACCGCAUAAUUAUUAUUUGCCAAAGCAUGUAAAAACAGCUUUCCAAAAAAAAAUGCAAGAAAGAAAUGACCUUAAACGAGAAAUAGAUGAUAUCAAACAAGAAAUAGAUGAUCGCAAACGCAAACGAGAAAAUGAAUACUUCAGAUAUUAUUUAGGUUAAUUAUGUAUUCUUCUUCUUGGUGCCGUUUCACCCCUAGGGGGGUAUUGUGACUAUGAUGCCGCGACCGUCACCGUCACUUCCGUGAUGUGAUACACCAGCUCCCUCCAUGUGUCUCUGUUUUGAGCGCUCCUAACACACGCUGGGAAGCUGGGUCCAACCAUUUUCCAGAUUGAGUCUGUUCAUCUCGUGGGAGAGCGUUACCGUUCCUUGAAUGAAUAGGGACUCUAUCGCAUUUGCCAUUGUGACAUGCCCGAAGUACAUUUGAGGAUUCGGCUUGAGUACCACCGCCGACAACCUCUUCUGGACACCAAUUUCUCCCAGGAUGGACACAUUAGUCCUCUUUGCCGUCCAUGGGAUCCAAAGCAUUCUCCUACAGCACCACAUCUCAAGCGUGUCAAUUUUUCUCCUGUCUCGUUCGCGUACUGUCCAGGUUUCUGACGCGUAGAGGAAUACUGAGAAAACCACAGUGUUUACAAGCCUUUUCUUCAGAAUCCUGCUCAUUGCUGCAUCUGACCAUAUCUUCUUUAGGCAAGACUUGGCGCUUCGUGUGAUUCGCACUCUGCGUCUUACAAUGGAUCCCAGGUACACAAAUCGACUCACCACUCCGAUUCCCUCAAUUUCCUGGAUUUCAGGCGAGUUGUUCUCAGGGCGAUUCACAAUCAUGAUCUUCGUCUUUGCUUUAUUUAUCAGCAAGCCGUGUUUUGCGCUCACCUCUUCCAGACAUUUCAGAAAGCUGAUCAUAUUUUCGACGCUUAUCCGAUGCAGAGCUAAUUGGAUACUUCGUGGUGGCAACAUAAUUUGGUUUCUUGCCAUUAUUCGUAAUCUGGAAUUUUCGCAACAGGACCACACAUGGUCCUGUUGCGAAAAUUCCAGAUUACGAAUAAUGGCAAGAAACCAAAUUAUGUUGCCACCACAGGGUAUCCAAUUAGCUCUGCACUGGAGAGGUUUGUGCCUUUUUCUAAGAAAUUAACUUUUGAACCGAACACAAAUUCGGAUUUUUUGUUCCAAAAAGAUUCAAAAUUAACUAAACGUGCGACAGGAAGCUGGGUUUGUAGGCCGGCUAAAUACUACAAUGUACAGAUUUGUUAAACAACUAGUUGUUUAACGAAUCUGUACAUCGUGGUAUUUAGUCCCUCAACUGAAAAUCAAGUGGUUCUGGUAGCCACAUCAAUGUUGAAAAAAUUUGGAAUUGUAUUAAUACCUAACUGAAUUAAGAUUCUAAAUUCAUGUUUAAAAAUUCUUUUGAAUCCCCUCUUUGUGAUGAACAAAACACUACUGUGAAGAGCCUUUCCAAUAUUGCAAAAUGAAAAAUACAUACUUAUCAACAAAAAAAAAAUACAAUUCAGUCAAAAUAUUUUUUAAAUGUUAGAAAUGAGGUCAGAUUAACAAUUUAACAGGUAUAAAUUUCUUGUCACAUUCUUCAUGUUAUCUGUAGGAAGUGUAGGACCUUUGUUGUCUUUUUAUUUCAUAAUUUAUGUUGUGUUAGCCUACGCUGAAUGUCUGAAAAAUUCAUUCUGACGAAUGCUUGUGUAAAAUUUUAUUUAAUUAUCUGUUCUCUGUAAAUUAAUUGAUACUUACAACUUCUGUUUAAUUUAAUUCAUAAAAUUAAAUAUUUGAUUUUAUCGUACUCGAUGGAAAACUUUCUUUAGAUAACCAAAUAGAGGAUAUUUCAAAUUGA
Molecule: long non-coding RNA, 2305 nt
Organism: Planococcus citri (citrus mealybug)
Lineage: Eukaryota; Metazoa; Arthropoda; Insecta; Hemiptera; Pseudococcidae
Exons: 3
Source: RefSeq, a predicted model, not a curated record